GACGAACGCUGGCGGCGUGCCUAAUACAUGCAAGUAGAACGCUGAAGAGAGGAGCUUGCUCUUCUUGGAUGAGUUGCGAACGGGUGAGUAACGCGUAGGUAACCUGCCUUGUAGCGGGGGAUAACUAUUGGAAACGAUAGCUAAUACCGCAUAACAAUGGAUGACACAUGUCAUUUAUUUGAAAGGGGCAAUUGCUCCACUACAAGAUGGACCUGCGUUGUAUUAGCUAGUAGGUGAGGUAAUGGCUCACCUAGGCGACGAUACAUAGCCGACCUGAGAGGGUGAUCGGCCACACUGGGACUGAGACACGGCCCAGACUCCUACGGGAGGCAGCAGUAGGGAAUCUUCGGCAAUGGGGGCAACCCUGACCGAGCAACGCCGCGUGAGUGAAGAAGGUUUUCGGAUCGUAAAGCUCUGUUGUAAGUCAAGAACGGGUGUGAGAGUGGAAAGUUCACACUGUGACGGUAGCUUACCAGAAAGGGACGGCUAACUACGUGCCAGCAGCCGCGGUAAUACGUAGGUCCCGAGCGUUGUCCGGAUUUAUUGGGCGUAAAGCGAGCGCAGGCGGUUUGAUAAGUCUGAAGUUAAAGGCUGUGGCUCAACCAUAGUUCGCUUUGGAAACUGUCAAACUUGAGUGCAGAAGGGGAGAGUGGAAUUCCAUGUGUAGCGGUGAAAUGCGUAGAUAUAUGGAGGAACACCGGUGGCGAAAGCGGCUCUCUGGUCUGUAACUGACGCUGAGGCUCGAAAGCGUGGGGAGCGAACAGGAUUAGAUACCCUGGUAGUCCACGCCGUAAACGAUGAGUGCUAGGUGUUGGAUCCUUUCCGGGAUUCAGUGCCGCAGCUAACGCAUUAAGCACUCCGCCUGGGGAGUACGACCGCAAGGUUGAAACUCAAAGGAAUUGACGGAGGCCCGCACAAGCGGUGGAGCAUGUGGUUUAAUUCGAAGCAACGCGAAGAACCUUACCAGGUCUUGACAUCCCGAUGCUAUUUCUAGAGAUAGAAAGUUACUUCGGUACAUCGGUGACAGGUGGUGCAUGGUUGUCGUCAGCUCGUGUCGUGAGAUGUUGGGUUAAGUCCCGCAACGAGCGCAACCCCUACUGUUAGUUGCCAUCAUUCAGUUGGGCACUCUAGCGAGACUGCCGGUAAUAAACCGGAGGAAGGUGGGGAUGACGUCAAAUCAUCAUGCCCCCUAUGACCUGGGCUACACACGUGCUACAAUGGUUGGUACAACGAGUUGCGAGUCGGUGACGGCGAGCUAAUCUCUUAAAGCCAAUCUCAGUUCGGAUUGUAGGCUGCAACUCGCCUACAUGAAGUCGGAAUCGCUAGUAAUCGCGGAUCAGCACGCCGCGGUGAAUACGUUCCCGGGCCU
This 1369-nucleotide ribosomal RNA is filed under the name uncultured bacterium. RNAcentral describes it as "bacterial SSU rRNA". It matches the Rfam family "Bacterial small subunit ribosomal RNA", at positions 28 to 1381 of the family's 1533-position model. The record is from RNAcentral.